This 465-nucleotide ribosomal RNA is filed under the name uncultured bacterium. RNAcentral's name for it is "partial 16S ribosomal RNA". It matches the Rfam family "Bacterial small subunit ribosomal RNA", at positions 28 to 507 of the family's 1533-position model. The record is from RNAcentral.
GACGAACGCUGGCGGCGUGCUUAACACAUGCAAGUCGAACGGAAAGGCCCCUUUAGCGGUCCUCGACUGGCGAACGGGUGAGUAACACGUAAGUAAACUGCCCUUGCUUUUUUGACAACGUCAGUAAAGUGGGGCUACUACCGCAUAGGCAUCCUUGCUCCAUGGGGGGGGUUGGAAAGCUUCGGCGGCUUUGGAGGGACUCGCCGCUCAUCAGCUUGUUGGUGGGGUAGUGGCUUACCAAGGCUUUGACGGGUAGCCGGCCUGAGAGGGCGACGGGACAGACUGGGACUGUGAGAGGGCCAAGACUGGGAAGGGAGGGAGAAGGGGCGAAGGUUGCACAAAGGGAGGAAGCGUGAUGCAGCAAGGCCGCGGGGGGGAAGACGGCCUUCGGGGUGUAAAACAAGUAGAGGAGGAACGAAGCGUGUGGUGACGGUACCUGAAGAAGAAGAAACGGCUAAAUACGGG